Long non-coding RNA from Photinus pyralis (common eastern firefly), 1016 nucleotides. RefSeq lists it as uncharacterized. The record is from RefSeq and is a predicted model, not a curated record. Lineage: Eukaryota; Metazoa; Arthropoda; Insecta; Coleoptera; Lampyridae. The transcript has 5 exons.
UGUUGCAGCCUGACGGGAUUAUUUUCACCCUAGCGACGACGCCGACGCCGCGAUGUUAUUAAUUUCGACGUCAGUUAAUAUCGCAUCAUCUAAUGAAAUUUACAACCCCCCGUUAAAUUAGUGCGCGCUGAACUUUUAGCACUAACUCAUAAUUAAACGGCAUACGUUAUUAUUUUAAUUAACUCGAAGUGGAUUAAGUAAUUUUUUUUGUAUUCAUACGAAACUUUCGCAGAACAGAAUGUGAAAAGAGCGCAUUGUCGCAAAAUGUGUUAGUUCCAAAUUUUUAUUACGAAACUUACGAAGUAGGUACUAUUUAGGGUUGAAUGGAACAUAAAAACUUUGAAAAUUUACAAGGUUAUUCGAGGACGAUCCAGGGACGAUUUUAACAAAUGGUUCACCAACGCUAAAAUUGGAGAGUGUUCCAGUUAUCCAAAUCGAACUGCUCCACGGGUAGAUUCAGACGCCAUGUAAAUAAGAUGGCUACCUUGUACCUCAGUAUUGGAGUGCCCGUUAGUGCUAUGGCUCAACAAUAUACUGAGAUACACCAGCGGUUGGUUAAACAUCUAAGCAAAUAAGUGAUAAAGGCCAUGGCAAACGUACAACAAUCUGAAUGUUGUAGAAGUACAAUGGAGCUUGUAAAGAUAAGUGUCUUAAUUAAAGUUCAGUUAUGUGAAUAAUUAGUAAAAAGUGCGCGAACUUUAUUAUGGAUUUGGAGUUGGAACUGGCGAAUCUCCCGCAGGAUUCGCGCGACCUCCUAAUCGAGAUGGGUUUGAAUAACAACAGCCAUUUAAUAAACGUGGAGUUUCCCGAUUUUAAUAGUAGUGACAAGAAGGACCUCUUCGAUUUGUACUGUAAAAUAAAGCAUAAAGACAACGAGAACUUCACAAAUUUAGGCGAGGGAAAGUAUUGCAACGCGUCGUCGGAUCUGGUCCUUUGCUGGCCUCCAACCCCUGCCAACACUACGGCCUACUUGAAGUGCUUUUCCGAAUUUUUGGGAUAUAAAUACGAUGAUCGGG